Molecule: ribosomal RNA, 749 nt
Filed under: uncultured bacterium
Lineage: Bacteria
Description: bacterial SSU rRNA
Rfam family: Bacterial small subunit ribosomal RNA
Source: RNAcentral
GACAAACGCUGGCGGCGUGCCUAACACAUGCAAGUCGAACGAAGCACUGCGGAAAGAGACUUCGGUCAAUUGAAGCUUUGACUUAGUGGCGGACGGGUGAGUAAUGCAUGAGCAACCUGCCCUGGAGAGGGGGACAACAGCUGGAAACGGCUGCUAAUACCGCAUGAUGUUGCGGGGAGGCAUCUUCCUGCAACCAAAGAUUUAUCGCUCUGGGAUGGGCUCAUGUCUGAUUAGUUAGUUGGCGGGGCAACGGCCCACCAAGACUUCGAUCAGUAGCCGGACUGAGAGGUUGAACGGCCACAUUGGGACUGAGAUACGGCCCAGACUCCUACGGGAGGCAGCAGUGGGGAAUAUUGGGCAAUGGGCGCAAGCCUGACCCAGCAACGCCGCGUGAAGGAAGAAGGCUUUCGGGUUGUAAACUUCUUUUAUCAGGGACGAAGAAAGUGACGGUACCUGAUGAAUAAGCCACGGCUAACUACGUGCCAGCAGCCGCGGUAAUACGUAGGUGGCGAGCGUUGUCCGGAUUUACUGGGUGUAAAGGGCGCGUAGGCGGGAUGACAAGUCAGGUGUGAAAUCUAUGGGCUCAACCCAUAAACUGCACUUGAAACUGUUGUUCUUGAGUGUCGGAGAGGUAGAUGGAAUUCCUAGUGUAGCGGUGAAAUGCGUAGAUAUUAGGAGGAACACCAGUGGCGAAGGCGAUCUACUGGACGAUAACUGACGCUGAGGCGCGAAAGCGUGGGGAGCAAACA